RNAcentral lists this long non-coding RNA (201 nucleotides) under Elaeis guineensis (African oil palm). Its description in RNAcentral is "long non-coding RNA (EGUI_LNC049193)". Lineage: Eukaryota; Viridiplantae; Streptophyta; Magnoliopsida; Arecales; Arecaceae. The record is from RNAcentral.
AGGUGCCAAUAAAUAUGGGGCGGCAAUAAAUAAAUGGAAUAGAUGUGGUGGCAUCGAGGACUCCUUUUUCAUCUGAAAUACUUCCAAUAUAAGGAAAUAAAUCAAAUAAAUUGGACCUAAUCUAAUUAGAUCAAAGGCAAUAGGUUAAGACUAGCUCAAAUUCAUUUGAACUAACCUAAUUGGGAAUUUGAGUUAAUAUAA